CGACUCUUUCAAGUUGUUAAUCAGCUCGAAGGAAAGAAGAAAUCAAAGGGAAUACAACUUUGUCUUUUCUAAAAGAGUAGUCUGUUCUUUUCUUCUUCUUAUAACGAAGUCUACUGAUACAUUCACUUGUAGCGUCUAAGAAGAUGGUGAGGACUUAAUAAAUAUUAGAUCAACCAACCAGGCAUCCUAUCCCUGCCCUCCAGGAACUUACGAUCUACCUCAACAAGAGAUGCUGCACAUGGCUGUCUGGGCUCCUAGGCCUUCGGCAGAAAUGACAGUAUGGGCAGUGGAACUCAACAGAUUGCAGCCCAGGGUUUUCUAGCCCAGGCUCAAAAGAGGUCUCCAGCCACACCUCCGACCCAACCAGAAGCCCACCCUGAGCCAGGAGGUUGGGCACUAACUACUAUGAUCUUCUUGUGAUGAGGAAGCAUGGUCCUGCCCAGAGCUAUGACACUCUAAGUUGGCAUGGGGCGGUCGGCAUGGGGCAGUCUGCCCUGGGCUCUGAGGAGAAAACCCUGGCUCACCCAGCACCUUGCAGCACCAGGCAGACGGCACUGCUACGGUGAGCAACUGUAUGGAGCGAUGUGAGAGAGAGACAGAACAGUUCACGUCCUGUGGACAGAGGUGAAAGAGACGAGGAGUGGGCUGGGGUGGGUGGCUUCAUUGCCACCCAGGGCCAUGUGACGUCUGGGCCUGGGCUUCUGUUGCGGCCCUUGUCUGGGUUCAGGCUCUGAAGCAGCGGCAGUCCCUGUUGAUGUCCAUGACUCCUGAUACCACCGAAGGCAGAGAGGAUAGGGCUGUGCAAGGUUGGCCCCGCCCCUCACUGACUGUGGCACUGGGGAGAACUGGUCCUGCUCAUCACUGGCUGAAGCACUCAGGACAGAGGGUCCUACAUCAUACCUGGGCAGCACAAUAGAGCUGACCCUGUCUGCCGGGGCAUGGGAGAGCUGGCCCUGAGGGAACGAGAACGGGAGAGCAGGCCAGGCUCCUCUUGUAUGCCGUGUGGUGGCACGGAUGAGGGAUAGAUUCCCUCCUUCCCUCGCUAUCUGCAAAAGGUGGGGGACCUGACCCAGCCCCUCACUAGCUGCAAUACUCAGGAGAACAAGCCUUACGCCUUGCCUGGGCAGCACAAUAGAGCCAACCUGGUUGGCGGAGGUGUGGGUGAGCCAGCCCUGAAGUUGUGACCAUGGGAGAGCUGUCCCCGUGACAUCUGUUUUGUGGUGGCAUGGGUGGGGGACCCAUCAAUGCCUGAGGCAGGUGGGAGAGCUGGCCCUGAGGUCAUGAGAGUGGGAGAGCUGGCCCUGCCCCUCACCAGCUGCAGCACUCGGGAGGGAGGCCCCUACGCCUUGCGUGGGCACCACAGUAGAGUUGGCCCUGAAGAUGUAAGUGUGGGAGAGCCGCCCCCGAGGACGUGAAAGCAGGAGAACUGGCCCCGCCCCUUGCUCAUGGCUGCAAGGGAUGAACUAGCCAGGGCAGUGCUGGGGAGCCCACUCUGGUGAUGAAGACAGGGGAGAGCUGGUGGACUGACCAAUCCUGCAACUACCCAGGCCCAGAACCAGGGUUAUGUGUUGGCCCACCCCAUCUGUG
This is a long non-coding RNA of Peromyscus californicus insignis, 1587 nucleotides long. RefSeq lists it as uncharacterized. NCBI's taxonomy places the organism in Eukaryota, Metazoa, Chordata, Mammalia, Rodentia, Cricetidae. The transcript is spliced from 3 exons. The record is from RefSeq and is a predicted model, not a curated record.